CGAGCGGAUGACAGGAGCUUGCUCCUGGAUUCAGCGGCGGACGGGUGAGUAAUGCCUAGGAAUCUGCCUGGUAGUGGGGGACAACGUUUCGAAAGGAACGCUAAUACCGCAUACGUCCUACGGGAGAAAAGCAGGGGACCUUCGGGCCUUGCGCUAUCAGAUGAGCCUAGGUCGGAUUAGCUUGUUGGUGAGGUAAUGGCUCACCAAGGCGACGAUCCGUAACUGGUCUGAGAGGACUGAUCAGUCACACUGGAACUGAGACACGGUCCAGACUCCUACGGGAGGCAGCAGUGGGGAAUAUUGGACAAUGGGCGAAAGCCUGAUCCAGCCAUGCCGCGUGUGUGAAGAAGGUCUUCGGAUUGUAAAGCACUUUAAGUUGGGAGGAAGGGUUGUAGAUUAAUACUCUGCAAUUUUGACGUUACCGCAGAAUAAGCACCGGCUAACUCUGUGCCAGCAGCCGCGUAAUACAGAGGGUGCAAGCGUUAAUCGGAAUUACUGGGCGUAAAGCGCGCGUAGGUGGUUUGUUAAGUUGGAUGUGAAAGCCCCGGGCUCAACCUGGGAACUGCAUCCAAAACUGGCAAGCUAGAGUACAGUAGAGGGUGGUGGAAUUUCCUGUGUAGCGGUGAAAUGCGUAGAUAUAGGAAGGAACACCAGUGGCGAAGGCGACCACCUGGACUGAUACUGACACUGAGGUGCGAAGCGUGGGGAGCAAACAGGAUUAGAUACCCUGGUAGUCCACGCCGUAAACGAUGUCAAGUAGCCGUUGGAAUCCUUGAGAUUUUAGUGG
This 787-nucleotide ribosomal RNA is filed under the name Pseudomonas fulva. RNAcentral describes it as "bacterial SSU rRNA". It matches the Rfam family "Bacterial small subunit ribosomal RNA", at positions 63 to 846 of the family's 1533-position model. The record is from RNAcentral. Lineage: Bacteria; Pseudomonadati; Pseudomonadota; Gammaproteobacteria; Pseudomonadales; Pseudomonadaceae.